UUUAUGUAAAUAAACGCGUCAUUUGACGAGAAGUUGUACUCGCAUUCGAUUUCAAAAAAUUAUCACCAAGGAUCACUGCCUGGAGUCAUGGACAAAAGAGAGUACAGGCGUUAUAUGGGUACGACCCAAUUCAAUCCCCAGACAAACAUAGUCAAUGGAGUGGACCUCUUCAAGAAUGGAAGAUUUAUCAAUCAAAUCAAAGUCAAAAUGGACAAAGAGAAUUCCGCCGCACUGUCGAGAGCCUGUGCAACAUGUACUGGAUCUGGUGAGCCCGCCCCAGUGGUAUCUGGAUCCUCCUCCAUGUCCUCACAAUCCUCUUCCACUACAAGCCUCCAGUUCGCCACAUUCAUUUAGAUUGAGGCAUUUCCUUUUAAGGAAAAAAACAUUACAAGUUACUGUUCCUGAAAGUUCUCUGUUUGUAGGAAUUGUAUCUGAUAGUUUAGUGAGUUUACUAUAUAUUCAGAUUCACUCUUGUUAAUUGAAAGUGGACAUAUCCAAUGCAAAAAUACUCCAUCGACUUUGACUCUGCCAGAAAAUUUGACAAACUUAUUUAUUGCAUCAGAGUAGAAGAAUGACAUAAUAUAUAACAUACGUUAGAGCAGAAAUGUUGGUUUUAGCGUUACUGUAUUUUCAAUACUUAGUCUAAUAAAGUUUUAUUUGUU
Long non-coding RNA from Saccostrea echinata, 662 nucleotides. RefSeq lists it as uncharacterized. The record is from RefSeq and is a predicted model, not a curated record. NCBI's taxonomy places the organism in Eukaryota, Metazoa, Mollusca, Bivalvia, Ostreida, Ostreidae. The transcript has 2 exons.